ACCAGACUCCUACGGGAGGCAGCAGUGAGGAAUAUUGGUCAAUGGGCGGGAGCCUGAACCAGCCAAGUCGCGUGAGGGAAGACGGUCCUACGGAUUGUAAACCUCUUUUGCCGGGGAGCAACGGGGUCCUUGCGAGGGCCCAAUGAGAGUACCCGGAGAAAAAGCAUCGGCUAACUCCGUGCCAGCAGCCGCGGUAAUACGGAGGAUGCGAGCGUUAUCCGGAUUUAUUGGGUUUAAAGGGUGUGUAGGUGGUUAAUUAAGUCAGCGGUGAAAGUUUGUGGCUCAACCAUAAAAUUGCCGUUGAAACUGGUUGACUUGAGUAUAGGUGAGGUAGGCGGAAUGCGUGGUGUAGCGGUGAAAUGCAUAGAUAUCGCGCAGAACUCCGAUUGCGAAGGCAGCAUGCCGGCUCCACACUGACGCUGAGGCACGAAAGCGUGGGUAUCGAACAGGAUUAGAUACCCUAGUA
This 466-nucleotide ribosomal RNA is filed under the name uncultured bacterium. Its description in RNAcentral is "bacterial SSU rRNA". It matches the Rfam family "Bacterial small subunit ribosomal RNA", at positions 330 to 792 of the family's 1533-position model. The record is from RNAcentral.